Molecule: ribosomal RNA, 465 nt
Filed under: uncultured bacterium
Lineage: Bacteria
Description: partial 16S ribosomal RNA
Rfam family: Bacterial small subunit ribosomal RNA
Source: RNAcentral
CCUACGGGAGGCAGCAGUGGGGACUAUUGCGCAAUGGGCGAAAGCCUGACGCAGCGACGCCGCGUGAGGGAUGAAGGUCUUCGGAUCGUAAACCUCUGUCAGCAGGGCAGAACGGUCACUGUGCUAAUCAGCAGUGAAUUGACGGUACCUGCAAAGGAAGCACCGGCUAACUCCGUGCCAGCCGCCGCGGUAAUACGGAGGGUGCGAGCGUUAAUCGGAAUUACUGGGCGUAAAGCGCUCGUAGGCGGUAUGUCAAGUCAAGGGUGAAAUCCCCGCGCUCAACGUGGGAACUGCCUUUGAAACUGGCAAACUGGAGUGUGUGAGAGGAUAGUGGAAUUCCAGGUGUAGGAGUGAAAUCCGUAGAUAUCUGGAGGAACAUCAGUGGCGAAGGCGACUAUCUGGCACAUAACUGACGCUGAGGAGCGAAAGCGUGGGUAGCAAACAGGAUUAGAUACCCUUGUAGUC